CCCACGGGGCGUCGGCGCGCGAGUGGCCAGGAGUGACCGGCCGGGGGCGGGGCCACGGGGCCGCGUGGGGAACCCUGCGUCCCGCGCCGCCGGCUCCCUCCGCCCGGAAACAUGGAACUGUGGAAAAAUUCGGCCUUUCUCUUCCAGUCCGUAGAUCUCUGUGCGCCAAAGGGGAAAAAUGAGGUGACACCGGUGCCGCUGGUCCAGGACCUCAUUUUGAGAUCCUGUGAUUCGCAGGUGUUCCUCUUGCCCAGUGAAGCAGGCAAAUUGGGGCCAAGAGCUGGACAUACCUGACUCCAAAGAAGAGAUGGGGAAAGAGUCCUGAAAAGAAAAGUGGAAACAGGGAGACCAGGACAGGGACCAAGAAGGGACAGACUGGAGAAGAACCGUCUGCCUCCUGGGGAUUUCUGUGCUGUUUGCUUUGUGGUGGCUGGCCAUCAUUACCAAAAUGCAGUUUUAGAACAUUUCCAUUAGCCCAGUAAGUUUCCUCCUGCUGGUUUUUGCUUAAUCCCUUCUCCCAUCCCAAGCCCUUGGCAACCACUGAUCUGCCUUUUUCUCUAUGAAUUUGCCUUUUCUUUGUGUUUCUUAUAAAUGGAACCAUACAAUAUGUAGUGUUUGCAUCUGGCUUCUUUGAUUUCGUAUUUUUUAGAGCUUAAUCUGUGUUGUAGCAUGUAGCAGUAGAUCAUUCCUUUUUAUGUCUAAGUGGUAAUUUAUUAUAUGGAUAUACCACAACUUGUUUUUCCCCUCAAGUUGCUGGACAUUUCGAUUUGUUGUGGUUUGAAUUGUGCCCCCUCCACAAUUCAUAACUUGAAGAUAACCCCAUGUGACCUUAUUUGCAAAUGGGGUUUUGUAGAUUCCUGAUCUAUGGACUCUUUUAUCACUAGGAAACAUCUGUUUUUGUUUCUAGUAAUAUUUCUUGUCUUUACAUCUAUUUUAGCUAAUAUCCACAUGGGCCACGCAACUUUCUUAUGGUUGCUUUUUUCACAGUGUAUCUUUUUUCAUCUUUCUACUUUCAGCCUCGUUCUGUCUCUGAAUCUAAGUGUGUCUCUUGCGUACCACAUAUGUUUGGACCUUGCUUUUUGUAUCCAAUCCGAAUCUCUCCACUCUUCAUUUGGGAUGUUUAGGCCAUUCACAUUUACUGUAAUUCAUAAUAUGUUUGGAUUUACAUUUUCCAUUUUGCUGUUUGUCUCUUCUCAUCUUUGUUUCUCUGUAUCUCAUUCAUUGCUUUCUUUUGUGUUAAAUAAGUACUUUUGGGUAUAUCAUCUAAAUUCUCCUGUUAACUUUUCUUACUGUGUUAAAAUGUAUUUUCUUAAUGGUUCCUCCCUAGAUUUCAGCAUCUUAACUCAGCAAAAUCUAGUUGAGACUAAUACUAAUUUAAUUCUGGUAAAAUAUAGAAACUUUACUGCAGUAUAGCUCAAUUUUCUCCCCUCUCCUUUGUAUUAUUAUUGUUAUUACAUUUAUAUGUGCUGUAAACCCAACAAUACAGUGUUAUGAGUAUUGUUGGACACAAUCUUAUGUCUUGUAAAGAAAUUAAAAGGAGAAAUGAAGCAAAUAUAUUUAUAGAGUCUUCUAUAUUAACCUACGUAUUUACCAUUUCCAGUGCUUUUCA
Molecule: long non-coding RNA, 1609 nt
Organism: Mustela lutreola (European mink)
Lineage: Eukaryota; Metazoa; Chordata; Mammalia; Carnivora; Mustelidae
Exons: 3
Source: RefSeq, a predicted model, not a curated record